GCGGAGGGAUCAUUACAAGUGACCCCGGUCUAACCACCGGGAUGUUCAUAACCCUUUGUUGUCCGACUCUGUUGCCUCCGGGGCGACCCUGCCUUCGGGCGGGGGCUCCGGGUGGACACUUCAAACUCUUGCGUAACUUUGCAGUCUGAGUAAACUUAAUUAAUAAAUUAAAACUUUUAACAACGGAUCUCUUGGUUCUGGCAUCGAUGAAGAACGCAGCGAAAUGCGAUAAGUAAUGUGAAUUGCAGAAUUCAGUGAAUCAUCGAAUCUUUGAACGCACAUUGCGCCCCCUGGUAUUCCGGGGGGCAUGCCUGUUCGAGCGUCAUUUCACCACUCAAGCCUCGCUUGGUAUUGGGCAACGCGGUCCGCCGCGUGCCUCAAAUCGACCGGCUGGGUCUUCUGUCCCCUAAGCGUUGUGGAAACUAUUCGCUAAAGGGUGUUCGGGAGGCUACGCCGUAAAACAACCCCAUUUCUAAGGUUGACCUCGGAUCAGGUAGGGAUACCCGCUGAACUUAAGCAUAUCA
Molecule: ribosomal RNA, 524 nt
Filed under: Cladosporium tenuissimum
Lineage: Eukaryota; Fungi; Ascomycota; Dothideomycetes; Cladosporiales; Cladosporiaceae
Description: eukaryotic LSU rRNA
Rfam family: 5.8S ribosomal RNA (bases 172-325)
Source: RNAcentral